GACGAACGCUGGCGGUGUGCUUAACACAUGCAAGUCGAACGGAAAGUCCCUGGUUUUUUGCGGUGCUCUAGUGGCGAACUGGGGAUUAACACUUGAGUAACCUGCCCUUGACUGUAGGAUAACUUCAGGAAAGUUGGGCUAAUACGGGAUAGGAGCUUCUGCUGAAUGUUGGGGGUUGGAUAGUUUCGGCGGUUGGGGAUGGACUCGCGGCUUAUCCGCGUGUUGGUGGGGUAGUGGCUUACACAGGCAUUGACGGUUGGACGGCCUGAGAGGGUAUCCGGCGACACUGGGACAGUGAGACAGGCCAGAGUCCUCCGGGAGGCAGAAGUGGGGAGUAUUGCACGAUGGGCGGAAGAGUGAUGCAGAAACGCAGCGUGCGGGAUAACGGCCUUCGGGUUGUAAACAGCUUUCGCCUGAGGCGAGGAGUGAGUGACGGUACUGGGUAAAGAAGCACCGGCUAACUACGUG
Molecule: ribosomal RNA, 468 nt
Filed under: uncultured bacterium
Lineage: Bacteria
Description: partial 16S ribosomal RNA
Rfam family: Bacterial small subunit ribosomal RNA
Source: RNAcentral